UCAAGAUGCGCGAAGAUUCUUUCCGAAGCGACUGGAUGUCUUUCUCUUCGUUUCCAUUCCCCUCUCACGCUUGCUAGGGUAUCACGCAGGACCAUUCCAGACGGAAUCAGCGCGCGGAUUUUGUGGGAUCCCGACGCCGGAGCGGACGCGCGAGCUGGGGCUGGGAGCUCGGCGGCGGAGAGUAACACGCGGUCGAGGACGGGGAGCCCCGACGCCGGAGAGCGACCCACGAGGGAGUUCGAUGGUGGGUAGCGCGGCGGCGGAGAGCGGCAAGGCGAGCUCAGGCGGGGGGAGGGGGUCUGAGCAGCGGAGAAGCGACCCGCACGCGAGGGUUGGGAACUCGGCGGCGGAGAACGGCCACACGAGCUGGGCGGAGAGUUGGGGCAGCGGAGAUGCAACCCGCGCGCGAGGGAGCCGAGCUCGGGCGACGAAGAGUGCCCGCACGAGGGAGCUCAUACGACUAGGAAGCCCGACGAAGGAGCAAUUGAGCGGCCGCAGUUGCCAUACUACCACUGCUCCGGCGCUUACUGGAUCUAUGUCUGCAUCCUCAAGCAGUUCCGGGAGGAGAUUCUCAAGGAUGUCCGUUCUAUUCUGCAAGGUACUUCUUACACUGGCCGGCGAGCAAGAAGGCGUGAACCCAAAUGCUGCCCUACUGCAAGCUGCAGCGUCCCCCGCCCCCAUCCUUCUUUGAUGAAUUGACCGAGGCAAACACAAUACCAAUAUGCCGCGAUCAAUAGAAGCGGUACUCCUUCUGUAUACCAGUGAAGAGGACGCCUACUGCUUACUCUGCAGUCUUUUGCCCAACUUAGUUGCUUUUUUGUCAUCAGUUUUAAGUUACUUUUUAUCUGCUAGUUAGGUUAUCUUUUCCAGCUGCAUGAAAAUUUCACACUGAUUUCAUUAUGUUGUUUAGUCAACAUGGCUAAGUUGCUUACUCAACUCAACUAGUUGCUUUCUGCCAGGAGUUGCCUUGCCUUGCUCAGCAUGCCUUUUUAGGUUGUUUAGUUGCUUUGAAUUCAACCAGGUUUAGUUUGAUGUUUCAACACCAUGAUUAAGUUGUCUUUCAUAUUUGAUUGAGUUGUUUGUUCAACUAGGUAAGUUGUGUACUAAAUAUAUGUAAGCCGUGUACUAAAUAUGCCUAUGUUGCCUCUGGCAACAUCCUUUUGAAGUUUAUUUUAUCCUAUAGUUUAGUUUGAUGCUUAGCAGUAUCCUUAAGUUGAACAUUUGUCUUAAUUUAGUUGUUCUUUUCAACUGACCUAAGUUGUAAUUUACAACGAAAUACCCGUAAGUAGUAUGUUGCUUAUUAUGUUCCAUUAAGUUGGUAAGUUGCCUUGUCAACAUGUUCUUUUGUCAUUAUGGUUAAUUUGUGCUUCAUAAUCUAGCUAAGUUUGCUUCUAUCAUUAUACUUAAGUUGGCUAGUCAGUAUAACUAAGUCGAAUGCAUACUUAAGUUCUCUUUUAUACUCUAUCUAGGUUUCUUCCCAAACGCUAAAAAGUUCUUGGAGGCCAGGAAACAUGUUUGAGCCUCCAAUUUCUGGCCAUUCCAUAUGUGUGAUCAAAGUUGUUCUGUCUCUAUAGGUGAUCCUUUUCAGCAAUAUGCAUAAGCAGGCCCGGGCGGGAAGGAGUGCCAAUUGUGCGGUUGCACAGGGCCUAAUAAUUUUUGAGGCCCAAAAUUUUGGUAUAGGCCUGUACAAUUAUUCAGUGUAAAAAAUAAACAAGUGAAAGUAAAAUGGCCGGCCUUACCUGGGCCCUUCCCAAGGAAUCCCAACCGAUGGGAGAGAGCGAGUGGCAAACGCGAUCGACAAAACGGGGGAUGAUCGAUCAGGCCUACGAUCAACUGACUCCCUUGCUCCCUUGACGAAGCGACGCGAGCGCGUCAGUACUCAGUUCGUCUUCUGUCGCCGCCUCUUUCCGUGGAUGGUGGACCCUGGCGUUCUGCAAUUGUUCUUCCUACGAUCCUCCGAUCGAUCUUGUAGUUGAUUUACCAGGCAUAGAUUUCCAAUGCAUCGAGGGUGCAAAUGUGCAAUGGGGGUUGUGCUUUGUUCUGGGAUCUAGAAACUAUUUCGGGGCAAGGGAGGAUUAAAAAAGCGAGGUACAAGUCCAUAGUAAUCUGAUGGAGGAAGUUAAUUGGUGCUGCAAAAGGAGGCAAGAAAAAGCGACUUGGACCUUGGGCCAAGAGGAUGAUGCUAGUUUUGGUACGAGGGAGAGGCGCGCUAGCAACCUGGUCAGGGGUUUCUUUUUCGAACUUGGUUGGUUGAGUGGGGGCGCUGGACUUUCUGUUUCUGGACCGGGGUACAGGACUUUUAUUUCUGGGCGGGGGCUGGUUUGGUAACCAACCCUCGAGUGCUUGCUAGCCAUGUCUAGGUGUCUUUAUUGGCUACUGAUUUAUUAAAGUUGCCUUGUCAACAUGUUUAAGUAGGCUACUACAUAUAACUAAGUUGCUUUUUGCAAUAUAAUAUAUCUAUCUUUCUUUUUAUCAACA
Lolium perenne is the source of this 2478-nucleotide non-coding RNA. NCBI's taxonomy places the organism in Eukaryota, Viridiplantae, Streptophyta, Magnoliopsida, Poales, Poaceae. The record is from RefSeq and is a predicted model, not a curated record.